CCCCUCUCUAUUUAGUCCCCUCUCUAUUUUGUCUCCUUUCUAUUAAGACCCCUCUCCAUUUAGUCUGCUCACCAUUAAACCCCCCUCUCUAUUAUUAUCCCCCUCUUUAUUAAGGCCCCUAUCUGUAUUAAGCCUCCUCUCUAUUAAGCUCCCUCUCUGUUUAGUCCCUUCUCUGUUUAGCCUCUCUCUAUUAAGCCCCAUCUCUAUUAAGCCCCCUUUCUCUACCAAACCCCUUCUCUAUUAAGCCCCCUCUCUGUUAAGCCCCCUUUCUAUUUACUCCCUUACUAUUAAGUCCCUUCUCUAUUAAGACCCCUCUCUAUUAAGCCCCUUCCCCAUUAAGCCUCUUCUCUAUUAAGCCCCCCCCCCCCC
This is a non-coding RNA of Paramuricea clavata, 369 nucleotides long. The record is from the annotation of a GenBank genome assembly. Lineage: Eukaryota; Metazoa; Cnidaria; Anthozoa; Malacalcyonacea; Plexauridae.